CACCAUCAUCACCACCUAUAGAAGACCCAUUUGCAGUGCCAUCCAGUCCACCAGAAAGGAAGGCCUCAGAUCCCUUUGCAGCCCCAGCAGAGGGCUCACCCCAAGACACCAAAAACACUUGGGGGGCACCCUCUGCUCCAACUCAAACAAAUGGGAAAGAUCCUUGGGGAGCAGGAGCCUCUUCACCUAUUAAUGAUUCUGACCCGUUUGGAGAUGCAUCUAAACCAGAAAAUGACCCAUGGGGUGCCCCAGCGUCCGCUCCCAUCUCUGCUGAUGACGCAUGGGGAGCUCCUGCUCCUCCAUCACAGUCCUCUCCAUCCGCUGACCCCUUUGGAGAUGCAGCAUCCAAAUCUAAUGACCCCUGGGGGUCCCCUAGCAAUGACCCCACAGAAAACACCUUUUAGAGUAGAGCUGGACCUUUAUUUCAUUACAGGGAGGAGAUGAUCAGAAAGGCCGUGUCCUUCCUGGGCCCGGCGGGGGCGUCGCUGGUUGAUUUGGAUGAUCUGUUUUCCUCCAAACCCAGACAACACCCCCCAACAAACACGCCGGCCCCCCCAACACAAGCCAUGGGCUGUGCCCCCCUCCCUCGCUCCCUCUCCUCGUCCCUUCAAGCUUCUGUCAUUCCUCCUUUUUUCCCAGGCACUUUCACAGACAGCUCAUCUGGUCUCAUGGGUCCGUCAGGGGCUUUUCCCGAAAGCUCCGCCCCAUUCCACAACCCAUUUGGUUCCAGUCUCGCACCCACUCCAUAUGGUGCGGUGAAUCCCCUUUUGGAGCUGCAGGUGAACCCCACACAUUUCAGCCCCCACCAUAUAAUUUUGGAGGGUCUCAGUCUGCAGCUUGGGGGGUUCCUGAAGCGGCAAAGGUGCAGCUUGGGUCUCUGAGAGGGAGCGCUGAGGGAAGGAUGCAGUCUGGGAUGGCAUUGGGAGGAAACCUCCCGGCAGGUGUGGCUCACCUUUGCGGUUCCACCGCGACCAACAAGAACAACAACCCGUUUUUGUUUUGACAUUUCAUCACACCAGGAAAACAGCUAAUCACUUUAUUCACAGGAAAAAAAACAGCACAUUUUGGAAGAAAGCAAUAAAAUAUAUUUCAAUUCAGACUUUUCAGUUUGAUCCACCAUCAGCAGAACCAAUUCCAGUGGUGUUCAGAUGAUUGGACAGAAAAUGGUUCCCUCCUGGAGGUAGAAGGUGCGACUUUUUUAUUUCUGUUUUCCUUGGCAACAACCUAAAGUGACAUCACAGUCAAAAACAAAAAAAGUAAAGGAAAAUAUAUGUGUAUUGUAAUUUAACAUACAUAUCUAUUUUUAAUUUUUUUUCUUUUUCUAAAAAAAUUGAAGUAAAAGAACAAAAAUCCCGGUUACUAACAGUAACAGUAUCAGAUAAUUAAUCCCAAAAAAAAUUUUUUUUUUUUUUCUAAUUUAAGUUAUUGUUUCCUAAAAAAACUCCUAGUUACUAACUGAUGCACACCAGUUAAAACCUGGUGAAGACAGUUAGAAACAAAAUUUUAUUUGGUCUAAUUUUCUAGGAGAAAAGAACUAUUCAUUUUUUUUUUCAGUUUUUUUUCUUUAAUGUUUUCUUCAACCAAUUCUUUCUAAACCCUUGUUGUUAAUCAGACUUAUUAACAUUUGUAUUAAUAAUACUAAGAGUUAUAUCAUAAAGGUGUCCUUACCUGUGAGGAUGCCAUCCUUGCAAGAGGAACUAGAAAGCAAUGGAAUUCAGACAUUUCCUCCCAUUGCCAUGGUGACAGCUUAGUUCUUUAAAUAAUAGGACUGUCAAUUGAUGUGGUUAUAAUUGAAAUAUAUAUAUAUGAAGAUACUCAAAGGCUCACUCUGAUCAUCUUUUGAUCUAUUUGAACAUUGUUCCCUGUGGUUUUAAUUAGGAUUUUCUUUUUUUUAGCCAAAAUAAAAAAAAAUUAAAGUUAUUUUCUAGUAGAUUGUUACUGCAGUAAUUUACCUCUAAGUUGAGGGCACGGGACAACGACAUCACAAAUAUGUCUUUUUCAAAUUACAUUUUUUCAUCUGUUCCCGAUUGAUUUGGGCUUAGUUCUCUUUAUGUAUUUCCUCCAUUUGUCACAACAACAUGCUAUAAACAGUUUUGAUCAGAGUGGGCUUUUAAAUGAUCACAGAAACGAUAAACUGCUAAUCGUUCAUGAACGUCUUAUUUCUGAAAGAACAUUUUUCUGGUCAGUCGCACAGUUUUUUGCAGUCGCCUAGAGAUCUGAUGAGAAACAAAAUGCAUAAAAAUGUUUUAAAAAUGCAUCUAUUUAAAAUUUUCCCACCCAUGAGGGUUAGACUUGUGUGUUUCUUUGUGUGAGUGUGUAUGCGGUACAUAUUCACUAUAUAUUGUGCUGAUGUUUGUAAAUAAUGAAAGUAAAAACAGAGAAAACCUUAAAGUGUAUAUCAGAGUGUUACAAUGAUCUAUUUAUUGAAGCGUUUGUUGGUUUUUCGAUGUAGCAGCGGCCUUUCAAAGCGGCCAUCGUUUCGGAGAACGCGUGAUUGGUUCCUGUUCUAAACUCAUCGUGCGUUUGUGUGUGUUUUUCCCCCUCCAUCAGUGGAAAACGAGCCUCACUGAUGGCUGAAUACAAACUUGAACACAGCUUGUGCAUGCGGUUCGAGCUGCUCCUGUAAUCGUGCAUCUGCCUUUCAGUGAUCUUGAUGUGACUGAAUACAAUGCUGCAUUUCUGGAGUGGGAUGUCUUCUGUUUAAGUCCUGCUGAACGGACAAGGAAGACACAGCCGUUCAGUUCAAGGUGUUACACUCAAGAACAAGUCCACAUGAAUAUAAUUUUUCAGGUUUAUUUUGUAUUAAAUGGGUCUAUUGCUGUAUAUUUCAGUUUAAGGCUGUGUUGUAUUAUGUGAAAGCAUUCAGUAC
Molecule: long non-coding RNA, 2869 nt
Filed under: Oryzias javanicus (javanese ricefish)
Lineage: Eukaryota; Metazoa; Chordata; Actinopteri; Beloniformes; Adrianichthyidae
Description: lncRNA (ENSOJAG00000009227.1)
Source: RNAcentral